RNAcentral lists this ribosomal RNA (496 nucleotides) under uncultured microorganism. RNAcentral's name for it is "bacterial SSU rRNA". It matches the Rfam family "Archaeal small subunit ribosomal RNA", at positions 234 to 734 of the family's 1478-position model. The record is from RNAcentral.
UGUUGGGGUAACGGCCCAACAAGCCUUUGACCGGUACGGGUUGUGGGAGCAAGAGCCCGGAGAUGGAUUCUGAGACAUGAAUCCAGGCCCUACGGGGCGCAGCAGGCGCGAAAACUUUACAAUGCGAGCAAUCGUGAUAAGGAAACCCUGAGUGCCUGUCAAUGCAGGCUGUUCUGGUGUCUAACACACACCAGGAGAAAGGGCGGGGCAAGACCGGUGCCAGCCGCCGCGGUAAUACCGGCUGCUCGAGUGAUAGCCACUUUUACUGGGCUUAAAGCGUUCGUAGCUUGGUCGUUAAGUCUCUGGGGAAAUCUUUUGGCUCAACCAAAAGGCGUCUCAGGGAAACUGACGAUCUUGGAACCGGGAGAGGUAAGACGUACUUCGGGGGUAGGAGUGAAAUCUUGCAAUCCCCGAGGGACGACCGAUGGCGAAGGCAUCUUACCAGAACGGCUUCGACAGUGAGGGACGAAAGCUGGGGGAGCAAACCGGAUUAGAU